GAGCGCCAGAUGGGUCCCCGGAGACCGG
Molecule: small RNA, 28 nt
Filed under: Bombyx mori (domestic silkworm)
Lineage: Eukaryota; Metazoa; Arthropoda; Insecta; Lepidoptera; Bombycidae
Description: ovarian small RNA-15811
Source: RNAcentral